UGGCGGCGUGCCUAACACAUGCAAGUCGAACGAAGCAUACGGACUGGAGAUUCGUCGAAGGACCGUAUGACUUAGUGGCGGACGGGUGAGUAAUGUAUGAGCAACCUGCCUUUCAGAGGGGGACAACAGUUGGAAACGACUGCUAAUACCGCGUAACGUAUCGUGGGGGCAUCCUCGUGAUACCAAAGGAGCAAUCCGCUGAAAGAUGGGCUCAUAUCUGAUUAGCUUGUUGGCGGGGUAACGGCCCACCAAGGCGACGAUCAGUAGCCGGACUGAGAGGUUGAACGGCCACAUUGGGACUGAGAUACGGCCCAGACUCCUACGGGAGGCAGCAGUGGGGAAUAUUGGGCAAUGGGCGAAAGCCCUGACCCAGCAACGCCGCGUGAAGGAAGAAGGUCUUCGGAUUGUAAACUUCUUUUACCGAGGACGAAGAACGUGACGGUACUCGGAGAAAAAGCCACGGCUAACUACGUGCCAGCAGCAGC
This 485-nucleotide ribosomal RNA is filed under the name uncultured bacterium. RNAcentral describes it as "bacterial SSU rRNA". It matches the Rfam family "Bacterial small subunit ribosomal RNA", at positions 37 to 518 of the family's 1533-position model. The record is from RNAcentral.